This 105-nucleotide small nuclear RNA is filed under the name Cebus imitator (Panamanian white-faced capuchin). Lineage: Eukaryota; Metazoa; Chordata; Mammalia; Primates; Cebidae. The record is from RNAcentral.
CAAGUGAUAUUGGAAGUGAUACUGAAAAUUGGAAUGACACAGAGAAAAUUACCGUGGGCCCUGUGCAAGGAUAACACACAAACUUGAGAAGUAUUUAAUACUUUG